CAUGCAAGUCGAGCGAUGAAGCUUCCUUCGGGAAGUGGAUUAGCGGCGGACGGGUGAGUAACACGUGGGUAACCUGCCUCAAAGUGGGGGAUAGCCUUCCGAAAGGAAGAUUAAUACCGCAUAAUAUAAGAGAAUCGCAUGAUUUUUUUAUCAAAGAUUUAUUGCUUUGAGAUGGACCCGCGGCGCAUUAGCUAGUUGGUAAGGUAACGGCUUACCAAGGCAACGAUGCGUAGCCGACCUGAGAGGGUGAUC
RNAcentral lists this ribosomal RNA (252 nucleotides) under Clostridium botulinum. RNAcentral describes it as "partial 16S ribosomal RNA". It matches the Rfam family "Bacterial small subunit ribosomal RNA", at positions 54 to 305 of the family's 1533-position model. The record is from RNAcentral. Lineage: Bacteria; Bacillati; Bacillota; Clostridia; Eubacteriales; Clostridiaceae.